GAAAAAAGCGAUUUCCAAUCAUUCCAAAAGUAGUUUCCAACAGAACAAAUGAAGAAACAACUUCAUGCAAUCAACAAAUAAAUAAAUACAUAAGAGAAAAUUCACAAUUUUCCAAGAUACAAUGAGACCUUUGCUAGAAUGUUUGCAGGAGGAACUACCUUGGAAAGAACAGAAGAUACUGAACUUUUCCCCUAAUUCCAGGAAAUAUAUACUAAGAAUAAUUGUCCGCUAAAUAAUACAUGUGUACCAUAAAUGCCAACUCUCUUGCGCAUGAAAUACAGUCAACCAUAACAGAUGAACAUCCUAAGCUUCCUUAUAAUAACUAAAGACACAGUAAAAUCCAACUGUACAACAGCAGAUUCUCCAAAACAAAUGGGCUCCUCAGCCUCAGAAAUCUCUCCCUUCAACCAACCCACCACAAGUAGCCGCUGACACUCACCACAAAAGAAUUACAAUUGCUCCUUAUAAGAAAUCUUUUGCAUUUCUACAUUGAAAUAUCUCCUUCAAUAGCUCCCUGACCUGCCACUAGUCCACCAAAUUUAGAAUGAAUAACAGAAACCUUGAGCUAUGGUAAUAUCUACUGCGAUUUACAUAUAGAGGUUCCUAACAGCCAGGUAGUUAUACAUGAUACCUUGAGAAGAAUAUGUAACUAAUCUUUCUUUGUUUGGAGACCAAAUGACAGGAGCAGCAGCACAAGUAAGAAACAUUAGCACAAGCAGAUUAAUUUUCCAAAUUCCAACUUCUUCCAAAGCAGAUGCUAGAUAACCUAUGUGGCUUAAACUUUAGAAAAUUAAAUAUAAUUACAAUAUUCACUGGCAAAGUGAAUUUCAAUGCUCAGAACAAAUUUCAGUUCUCAAUAAUUAACAUCCCAAGCACAUUUUGGGAGCAAAUUCAUAGGACACAAUAAAGGCUAAUGGGAAAUAAACAGUCUGAGAACCAGUAUAUGGACGUUUCAGGAGCCAAUACUAAUGAAUCAUCAAUGAACAUUUAGCAAUGUUCCAGGCGCAUACCUCAAAAAAUUUGGAAACUAUGAAUGAACCAGCAAGCAAAAUGUUUCUCCUUUCCUUUUGAUAAGAGAAGAAAUUUUAUUGAAAAAAGAAAGAAAUGAAAGUACCCUUUGGUAAAGAAGAAAUCCUCCUACAAAACUCAACAGGCAACUACAAACAAGAACAUAAAAGAUGAGCUAAAAAAGCAGUGCCCUACAAUCAAGUUGGAUAAAAAUCAAGGGAACCUCUGUAAUCUGUGGAUGAAAUGGAACCACAGAAUGGUUGAAGGAGAUGAACACCCAGGGCUGAAGAUAAAUAAGUAACUUCUAUGCAAUUUCCACAUAGAAGAGAGAUACUUAAUAUUUUAAAAUCCUCGUUCAUAAUUUCUAGAUCUAC
This 1382-nucleotide unclassified non-coding RNA is filed under the name Hevea brasiliensis (rubber tree). The record is from RNAcentral. Lineage: Eukaryota; Viridiplantae; Streptophyta; Magnoliopsida; Malpighiales; Euphorbiaceae.